RNAcentral lists this long non-coding RNA (2359 nucleotides) under Portunus trituberculatus (swimming crab). Its description in RNAcentral is "uncharacterized LOC123498484". Lineage: Eukaryota; Metazoa; Arthropoda; Malacostraca; Decapoda; Portunidae. The record is from RNAcentral.
UCUCUCUCUCUCUCUCUCUCUCUCUCUCUCUCUCUCUCUCUCUCUCUCUCUCUCUCUCUCUCUCUCUCUCUCUCUCUCUCUCUCUCUCUCUCUCUCUCUCUCUCUCUCUCUCUCUCUCUCUCAUGAGUAGGUGAGCCAGACGCGUGUCGGUCACCCAGCCAAGACAACGCCAUACCAAUAGACUGUUCAUGCAUGCCAUUCAUUGUCGCAGUGUGUCACGUCGCGUCGCCAGGCGUAAAUUCUUCAGGCCGAGGUGUGACGGCAUCAAGCGUGCAUCAUUCUUGACACAGACACAACAGAUCCAGUGGUCGAAAACGGAAGUGGUGAAUCAUAGUAAGUAAAUUGUCUCAUGUAAUUGGCAGCGUUUGCCCGAACAAAGGGAGAACUUAGGCCUGGCCAUGAGCGAGGUGAUCCUUGUGUACCUUGCCUCAUUACUCCGCACACAUUAUCGCAUCUUUGUAUUCAUACUUCUUAAAGUUGAGCUGUUUAUAUAUUUUUUUAUGUGAAUAAUCCUGAUAAACUCCCAACGUCCUACAUUCCCUCCCUUCCCCCUCCCCCCUCCCCGGGCCGCCGCGCCAGUGCCCACGGUCUUGCUGGUGCCGUCGGCCGUGUGUCUCGCUGCGUCGCCUCGCCGCCGCCACUGUCACUGCUGCUGCUGCUUCAGUUCAUUCUCCUCUAGGCUCUCCAAGGCCCCGCGAAGGAGCCUACACUCCCUCAAUUAAUGCUGCAGCGACAUUCGAUCCUGCGGCAGAAAACAACAUAAUCAAUAUGGAUUCCAUUUAGCUAUUAGGGAACCGUAAAUAACACUUGAGGAUGGCACGUAGCACUGCCACUGCGGGGCCCCACCUGGAGCGUGCACAUCCCUGGCGCCAGACACACUGCACCAAGCACCGCGCUGCGCCCCACUACCGGGAACACCACUCGUCCUGCAACACUAAACAACACGUUGUUAAUAGAAAGAGUAAGAUAUUUCUAAUGCUCUUAUUUUCUUUUCAUUUAAUUUUUGCCACUGGAAAUUAGUGGAGACGAAGCGUUCACACAAACACCAGCACCAGGGAUGUGCAGCGCUACCAGCAUCGUCAUCAUCAUUACCACUCGUAUGUAAAUGACAGACAUUUGUAUAGUCAUCUAAAAACUUGGAUGGAGCCCCGGCAGCCAGAAGCCAUGCCAGCUUCAGUCACCCUGGAGCCCGCUGGCCCAGGUGUGUCGUUGUGGUGGUCUGUGUGGCCUAGAUUAUGAUUAUGUGGUUCAGGUGAUCUUCAUGGUGCAGGUGGUAUUUGUGGUUCUUGUGGCUCAGGUGGUUCUUGUAGGCUACGUGGCGUCCGAAGUUCAGUAAACCUGGACUCCCAGAGUUAAGGAUCAGCCAGAGGCACUCGACGAGCCUUGAGCCUUCCUGCACUCACCUAGUAUUGCUCUUUCCUUAGGCUGAGUCUCUGCUUUGGUUUAGCUCCAUUCUCUCUUCCUUGUUAUGAAAACAUGACCCAAACGUGCCCCAUCAAUGAUUCAGUUUCCAAAUGUCAGGCUCGUGGAAAAGUAUCAUUCUUGUACUUGACUCUAAAGAACACAUUACUUGAACAUUCUGUAGUUAGUAAUUUGUUAUUCAGGCAAUGCCUAAUUUUUCUAAAUCCAGGGUGUCUGCCAGUCUUUGUGAAGUGAAAAGGAAAAUAUCCAAAUCGAAUGCGGCUCAGGCAAAUAUAUUACAACUCCUUUCUGUGAAAAGUUCAAAUUUUAUUACUUAGCACAAUACGAGGAGGUGCAGGUGGUGUCACGGCGAGGCUGCCACUCUCACCAUUCUUUCAGCAGGUGCAGGACGUCGCUGCCUCGCCGACAUCGUUCCUCUCGGCGUCCAGGACUUCGUGGCUUCGUUCGUCAUUAUAUAUAUUUUUUUUCUUUUUGUAUCGCUGUAAAUUUAAAUGUCCUGUCCAUUUAGGAGGUUUAGGCAAUUUUUUUCCUUAGCGCUCACUUAGUAUUUAAGGCGAAAUUGGAUAGGUCUUUUUUAAUAAGAUAUUGGACUUAGAGUUGUAGACUGACUGGUGGUAUAAGGGCGAGUCCCGCUGACUGUACAAGAGUAAUUAAUGUAGCAGCAGGAUGUGUGGCGUGAAUGAUAAGUUAAUUCUCUCUCUCUCUCUCUCUCUCUCUCUCUCUCUCUCUCUCUCUCUCUCUCUCUCUCUCUCUCUCUCUCUCUCUCUCUCUCUCUCUCUCUCUCUCUGUGUGUGUGUGUGUGUGUGUGUGUGUGUGUGUGUGUGUGUGUGUGUGUGUGUGUGUGUGUGUGUGUGUGUGUGUGUGUGUGUGUUCAUAAUUGUUUCAAGUGGCACUUGUAAUAUACGUCGGCAGUUAGGCAAUGAACAAAAAUCUUGUA